Molecule: ribosomal RNA, 253 nt
Filed under: uncultured bacterium
Lineage: Bacteria
Description: partial 16S ribosomal RNA
Rfam family: Bacterial small subunit ribosomal RNA
Source: RNAcentral
UACGAAGGGGGCUAGCGUUGCUCGGAAUUACUGGGCGUAAAGGGCGCGUAGGCGGCUAUCUAAGUUGGGGGUGAAAUCCCGGGGCUCAACCUCGGAAUUGCCUUCAAAACUGGAUAUCUUGAGUUCGGGAGAGGUGAGUGGAACUCCGAGUGUAGGGGUGAAAUUCGUAGAUAUUCGGAAGAACACCAGUGGCGAAGGCGACUCACUGGCCCGAUACUGACGCUGAGGCGCGAAAGCUGGGGGAGCAAACGGG